RNAcentral lists this long non-coding RNA (711 nucleotides) under Homo sapiens (human). Its description in RNAcentral is "non-protein coding lnc-TUBGCP6-5:1". The record is from RNAcentral. Lineage: Eukaryota; Metazoa; Chordata; Mammalia; Primates; Hominidae.
UCUAGGAGGGAAGGGGCCUUGGAUCUGUGCCCCGCCCAUGGAACAGCGCCCGGGCUCGGAGAGGCCCCGCGAGGCCGCAGGCGCAGACCCUCCCGGAGGGCUGGGCGGGCACCGGGGUCUUCGGCUGGCUUGAGGGACCCGACCCCUGGGGGAGGAAUUUGGGGUCUGUGUGUCCGAAUGAACGCGGGGGUUCAGAUGAGUCUGUGGUGCCCCCGCUUUCCAUCUCCUCCGGCCCCGGCCCCAGAGGACUGUCUGAGAGGCCGGUGGCCGCGGAUCCUGGACGCGCCUCCCUCCUGCCUGUGGUUUCCCUUUAUUCCGGCAGCGGCGCGAGCCCACCCUUCACAUACAGGAGCUACAUCCAGAAGCUUCUCCUGGGGCCACAGCGUGGGCUUCCGAGACUCUGCGUGACCCCAGCUCUGCCCCUUUGGGGCUGCGGGUGAAGCCCUCAGGACCCUCCGCGUGCGUUGGGCAGGUGCACACAUUGUCUGCCCAGAGAGGGCCAAGAUGCCCCAGGCACCCCUUCGCUCCGGGGGCUCAGGACACAGGCUCCCAGCUGAGGCCACGCCUGGACCCAGAGCUGAUGUUUGGCUGCACGCGAGCCCACUCGGGACAGACCCAAGAACACGAAUUCUCUCCCUUUGGAUUUAAGGCUGGUGUUUUUUGACAUUUACUUCAGUUUUUCUCUCUGAAAUUAAAAUUACCUGAGUAAAA